GCUCCGGUGGCCUAGUGGUUAGAGCGUCAGCCUCGGAUGCGGGAGGUCGCUGGUUCGAUCCCUGGCUGAAUUA
This is a non-coding RNA of Potamilus streckersoni, 73 nucleotides long. The record is from the annotation of a GenBank genome assembly. Lineage: Eukaryota; Metazoa; Mollusca; Bivalvia; Unionida; Unionidae.